GAUGAACGCUGGCGGCGUGCCUAAUACAUGCAAGUCGAGCGAACAGACGAGGAGCUUGCUCCUCGGACGUUAGCGGCGGACGGGUGAAUAACACGUGGAUAACCUACCUAUCAGACUGGGAUAACUUCGGGACACCGGAGCUAAUACCGGAUAAUAUAUUGAACCGCAUGGUUCGAUAGUGAAAGACGGUGUUGCUGGCACUUAUAGAUGGAUCCGCGCCGUAUUAGCUGGUUGGUAAGGUAACGGCUUACCAAGGCAACGAUGCGUAGCCGACCGGUGAGGGUGAUAGGCGACACUGGAACUGAGACACGGUCCAGACUCCUGCGGGAGGCAGCAGUAGGCAAUCUUCCGCAAUGGUCGAAAGCCUGACGGAGCAACGCCGCGUGAGUGAUGAAGGUCUCCGGAUCGUAAAACUCUGUUAUUAGGGAAGAACCAAUGUGUACGUAACUAUGCACGUCUUGACGGUACCUAAUCAGAAAGCCACGGCUAACUACGUG
Molecule: ribosomal RNA, 497 nt
Filed under: uncultured bacterium
Lineage: Bacteria
Description: partial 16S ribosomal RNA
Rfam family: Bacterial small subunit ribosomal RNA
Source: RNAcentral